This 483-nucleotide ribosomal RNA is filed under the name uncultured bacterium. Its description in RNAcentral is "partial 16S ribosomal RNA". It matches the Rfam family "Bacterial small subunit ribosomal RNA", at positions 28 to 507 of the family's 1533-position model. The record is from RNAcentral.
GACGAACGCUGGCGGCGUGCUUAACACAUGCAAGUCGAACGCUGAAGCUCAGCUUUUGUUGGGUGGAUGAGUGGCGAACGGGUGAGUAACACGUGAGUAACCUGCCUCCUUCUUUGGGAUAACUCCCGGAAACGGGUGCUAAUACUGGAUAUUCACUGGUCUUCGCAUGGGGGUUGGUGGAAAGGGUUUUUCUGGUGGGGGAUGGGCUCGCGGCCUAUCAGCUUGUUGGUGGGGUGAUGGCCUACCAAGGCUUUGACGGGUAGCCGGCCUGAGAGGGUGACCGGUCACAUUGGGACUGAGAUACGGCCCAGACUCCUACGGGAGGCAGCAGUGGGGAAUAUUGCACAAUGGGCGCAAGCCUGAUGCAGCGACGCCGCGUGAGGGAUGGAGGCCUUCGGGUUGUGAACCUCUUUCGCUCAUGGUCAAGCCGCAACAAUGGUUGUGGUGAGGGUAGUGGGUAAAGAAGCGCCGGCUAACUACGUG